This 397-nucleotide long non-coding RNA is filed under the name Musa acuminata (dwarf banana). RNAcentral describes it as "long non-coding RNA (MACU_LNC000051)". Lineage: Eukaryota; Viridiplantae; Streptophyta; Magnoliopsida; Zingiberales; Musaceae. The record is from RNAcentral.
CAGGAGGGUGCGAGGCUUCCGACCGCCCUGAACACUCUCGGCGGCCACUUGUAUGGAAACAGCAACAUGGUUUUGGGAUCAGCUCAAGUGAGUCCACAGAUCACGUCGUUGCAUGACCAAAGUCGCCCCUCCACUGACCUCCUUCACCUCGGCCGAGCGGGUUCGUCUCAAUUCGAACACCUUAUCGCUCCAUCCAAACCUUUGUCCUUCGGCGCACCUCAGCCCCCUCCUUACUCCUCCCCGUUCUACCUCGGCGGCGGCGGCUCCGACAAAGGCAUCAAUGGGGACACCCCGUCGCACCACUCCUUGCUUCAGAGUAAGAACUUCCACGGUCUAAUGCAACUUCCUGACCUGCAAGGCAAUACCACUGGCUCUUCCUCGUCCUCUGCUGCAGCAG